UGAAUCGUCAUAUGUGACCCCAGUGGCCAUAGAAAGACCAGGACCGGACUCUAUGCAUCAUUUCUUUUGCUUUCGUGCUAAGUCCCCUCCUGUUCCAUGGUUUAACAAGCGAUGACCACUCUACUUCCAUUGUCAACUAACUCCUCACAUGAACUGGAAGCCACGUCUCAUGUGGCCCACUCAACCACUGGCACAUUGAAUGUUUCCUCUCCAAGCACGUCAAACCCUGCCCUGCACUGGUCAAGCCUCUGAACACCUCAACUCAUGCCUCAUACCCUCAUUCAAUCACUGCUGUGAUCCCUUCCCAAAAUGGCAGCCUGGGAAAGAACUGAAAAAACUCACUAAAGAGUCAAGACAGAGACACCAGAAAGACCCAAGAAGACUUGGACGCAGCAUCAGAGGACAGAGAGGGAUGUUCAGAACUCACUCAGUCUGGUUAGAAGAGAAUGACUCCUCAACCCAAGAGGCCCUGGAGCAGCUGUGAGAGAGCAGCAGUGUGGAAACAUUUGGGGAAAUUUAAGGAAGGUUUCCUGGUAAAGAGGAUUGACUGUUACGUAAAGGGUCAGAGCCACUGAGUGGACAAAAUAUUAAGGAUACCUUCCUAAUACUGAGUUACGCCUGGUCAGUUUGUCAUGGAAAGAAAGGUGUCCUUAAUGUUUUGUGUAAAUUACAUAAUAACUAUACAUUUAUGGAUUGAUUUAUAUAGCCUAUUGUUUUCUAUUUAUUCAACCUGCCAUCUACCCACCUGGGGACUGAGGGUUAUGAGAGAACCCCCACAUCACUAGCUUCUCUUUAUUCAACCUGCCAUCUACCCACCUGGGGACUGAGGGUUAUGAGAGAACCCCCAC
RNAcentral lists this long non-coding RNA (848 nucleotides) under Salmo salar (Atlantic salmon). RNAcentral describes it as "lncRNA (ENSSSAG00000114729.1)". The record is from RNAcentral. Lineage: Eukaryota; Metazoa; Chordata; Actinopteri; Salmoniformes; Salmonidae.